GCAUAUCAAUAAGCGGAGGAAAAGAAAAUAACAAUGAUUCCCCUAGUAAUUGCGAAUGAAGAGGGACAAGCUCAAAUUUUAAAUCUAUCGGGUUUUACCUGAUCGAGUUGUAAUUUGAAGAAGCGUUUUCCGCGUAUUUGGUCAACCCAAGUCCUAUUGAAUGAGGCAUCAUGGAGGGUGAUAAUCCCGUCCGGUUGAUCAUUUGCGUUUUACGAUACGCUUUCUAAGAGUCAAGUUGUUUGGGAUUGCAGCUUAAAAUGGGAGGUAAAUUUCUCCUAAGGCUAAAUAACGGCGAGAGACCGAUAGCGAACAAGUACCGUGAGGGAAAGAUGAAAAGAACUUUGAAAAGAGAGUUAAACAGUACGUGAAAUUGUUGAAAGGGAAACGAUUGAAGCCAGUCGUACCUUCGGGUAAUCAGCCUUUCGGGUGCGAUUCUGUGGAGUGUGAGGAGUUAAACACCUUCAUGUUUUGCAUAUUCGUACUCUUGGGUGUACUUGCCCGUGUGGUUGGUUAACAUCAAUUUUGGUGGUCAUAAAAUGACUGGAGGAAUGUAGCUUCGAUCUCGUAUUGAAGUGUUACAGCCUUCGGUAGAUGUGAUGAUCGAGAUUGAGGAUUGCAACGGAUACCCUUCGGGGCUACCUGUCCGAUCUCUGAUCGUUGCUCUGGUGCCGAAAGCUUGCUUACGGUUAUCAAAGUCGAUGGUCAAUAGGUUAGAACGGGUUAAAUUCGUUAAGGAUGUUGACGUAAUGGCUUUAAACGAC
This 761-nucleotide ribosomal RNA is filed under the name Rhizophagus intraradices. Its description in RNAcentral is "eukaryotic LSU rRNA". It matches the Rfam family "Eukaryotic large subunit ribosomal RNA", at positions 38 to 648 of the family's 3401-position model. Lineage: Eukaryota; Fungi; Glomeromycota; Glomeromycetes; Glomerales; Glomeraceae. The record is from RNAcentral.